GGAUAACCUACCUAUAAGACUGGGAUAACUUCGGGAAACCGGAGCUAAUACCGGAUAAUAUAUUGAACCGCAUGGUUCAAUAGUGAAAGACGGUUUUGCUGUCACUUAUAGAUGGAUCCGCGCCGCAUUAGCUAGUUGGUAAGGUAACGGCUUACCAAGGCAACGAUGCGUAGCCGACCUGAGAGGGUGAUCGGCCACACUGGAACUGAGACACGGUCCAGACUCCUACGGGAGGCAGCAGUAGGGAAUCUUCCGCAAUGGGCGAAAGCCUGACGGAGCAACGCCGCGUGAGUGAUGAAGGUCUUCGGAUCGUAAAACUCUGUUAUUAGGGAAGAACAAAUGUGUAAGUAACUAUGCAC
This 359-nucleotide ribosomal RNA is filed under the name Staphylococcus sp. HMSC062B11. Its description in RNAcentral is "bacterial SSU rRNA". It matches the Rfam family "Bacterial small subunit ribosomal RNA", at positions 119 to 473 of the family's 1533-position model. Lineage: Bacteria; Bacillati; Bacillota; Bacilli; Caryophanales; Staphylococcaceae. The record is from RNAcentral.